Molecule: non-coding RNA, 117 nt
Filed under: Platyophrya macrostoma
Lineage: Eukaryota; Ciliophora; Colpodea; Cyrtolophosidida; Platyophryidae
Source: RNAcentral
AAAAAAAAAAAAAAAAAACUGCUGCACGGGUUCUCGAUCGCGUCUUGCUUCUUAUUGCUUCAUUUCAUUUUUCCAGCUGCUUUCUCUCCUCUUCUUUCUGCUGUCUCUUUAGUGUGC